GGAAGAAGACUGACGCUGAGGGAGAUGAUAUUUGCCCGGCUCCUACGGGAUAAUUCUCUUUCUUUCUCUCUCUUUCUCCUCAGCAGAAUUCUGAAGAACAGUUGCAGUAUUACACUUUUGCAGCGAAAAACAACAAAACGCUACAAUAUACAGACUUUCUUACGAACCUAUUUAUCCAACAGAGCAAUUUUAUGCAAAACUCUGAAAGAAAUUAAAGGCAAGAGAUAAGAAAAUAUAAAUAUUUUCUUGCAAAUAAUCAUGACUUCCUUUAAGUUGACGCACAGAACCUUAUUCGUUCUGUUCAAUUACAACUUGCUCGUCUUCCCCUCCCUCAGGAUCUGCUUGCUCUUUCUUGUUUUGCAAUUUGACAUUCAUUAAUUCAUCCUUGACUAAGCCACUUCAGCAUACUUUUGUAUUAAGUCCACAUUUAAUGAGCACCUAUUCUCCUAGCACACAAAAUUCUUAACCAAAUUUCCACUGUAUUGAACUUUUAAAUAUUUUUUCUUGAUGAGUCAUAUCCCACUUUGAUAGUUGUUUUUGUUUUGUAUUGCAUCGAAUAAUUUGAGCAUUGGACAAUAACCAAAAUAAAAAUGGAACUGUGUAUAUUUUA
This is a long non-coding RNA of Pantherophis guttatus, 610 nucleotides long. RefSeq lists it as uncharacterized. NCBI's taxonomy places the organism in Eukaryota, Metazoa, Chordata, Lepidosauria, Squamata, Colubridae. The record is from RefSeq and is a predicted model, not a curated record.